RNAcentral lists this long non-coding RNA (1487 nucleotides) under Solanum tuberosum (potato). RNAcentral's name for it is "long non-coding RNA (STUB_LNC002009)". The record is from RNAcentral. Lineage: Eukaryota; Viridiplantae; Streptophyta; Magnoliopsida; Solanales; Solanaceae.
UUGACUCUCCAUCAAAACAUCUCUUGUUCCUCUCCAACCAAAUACUCCAAAAAAUACAAGCAGGUAUCAUAAUCCAGAUCUUCUUGAUGGCUUUGUCAACUUUCCAUAGACUCCAACUCUUAUAUGCAUCCUUAACAGUGAGGGGUGUGGUCCAAUUGAUGCCAGAGAGACAAAAAAACAUGCUCCAUAAUUCUGAGGCCACCUCACAAUGAAGAAGAAGGUGUCUAGGGGUUUCAGCCUCUUUUUUGCACAUAUAGCAUCUGUUUGGGAAUUGGAUUUUUCUUUUCUUUAUGUUGUCUUGGGUGAGACAUGCCUCAUAUAGAGCUAUCCAGGUAAAAAAAAACUACCUUAGGUGGUAGCUUGGUCCUCCAAAUGAGUUUCCAGGGCCAGUUAGCUAUCACGGGGUUUCUAGAGCACAACUGUUGAUACCCUUCCUUGACUGUAUAAACUCCUUUCUGGUGUCCCCAUUUGAGCUUAUCAGAUGCCUGGAGAUUAAUGUGACAAUGUGACAAUCUAGCAAAAAGGUCUACCAGAUCAUUCACUUCCCAAUCGUGCAUAUUUCUUCUAAAUCUCAGAUCCCAAUUGAUCCCUUCUCUAUUAGCAACAAUAACAGAAUUGGGAUCUUGAGCAAUUCUAAACAGAUCUGGGAAAUCCUCCUGAAGAGUGGUAUUUCCAAGCCAUUUGUCUGUCCAAAAUUUUAGGAGUACACCAUUGCCCAAUUCAAAGUAAGCGUUCUGAUCAAAUGUAUCCCACAACAUCCUAAUACUCUUCCACAGUCCCACUCCGUAAGGAAGUGUAGUAAUAUUUGUGCACCAUUGAUUCAGCCUUCCAUGCUUAGCUAUGAUGACCUCUUUCCAGAGCCCUGCGUCUUCCAAGUUGUAUCUCCAAAGCCACUUCAUCAUCAUACUUUUGUUGUGGGCUGCAAGGUUCUUAAUGCCAAGACCUCCUUGGUAUUUUGGUUGUGUGACCUUCUCCCAUUUGAUGAGAUGAAAUUUGUGUUUCUCCCUGCUGCCUUUCCAGAGGAAGUCCCUUCUUAUCUUGUCAAUCUGUUCUAUAACCUCACUUGGCAUUGGGAGCAAGGCCAUGUAAUAAGUAGGUAAACUGUCUAGAACACUAUUGAUAAGUGUUACUCUACCACCAAAGGAGAGGUAUUGCAUUUGCCAUGUUGCCAACCUCUUCUCAAACUUUCCAAUAGAGCACAACUGUUGAUACCCUUCCUUGACUGUAUAAACUCCUUUCUGGUGUCCCCAUUUGAGCUUAUCAGCUGCCUGGAGAUUAAUGUGACAAUGUUGUAGUCUAGCAAAAAGGUCUACCAGAUCAUUCACUUCCCAAUCGUGCAUAUUUCUUCUAAAUCUCAGAUCCCAAUUGAUCCCUUCUCUAUUAGCAGCAAUAACAGAAUUGGGAUCUUGAGCAAUUCUAAACAGAUCUGGGAAAUCCUCCUGAAGAGUGGUAUUUCCAAGCCAUUUGUCUGUCCAAAAUUUUAGGAG